UCUCCCUUCGGGGAGAAGUAGAGUGGCGCACGGGUGAGUAACACGUGAGUAAUUUGCCUUCGGGUGGGGAAUAACAACCGGAAACGGUUGCUAAUACCGCAUAAUGCAGCGGCACCAAAUGGUGACAGUUGUUAAAGCGGGGGAUUCGCAAGAACCUCGCGCCUGAAGAGAAGCUCGCGGCGGAUUAGCUAGUUGGUAGGGUAACGGCCUACCAAGGCGACGAUCCGUAGCCGGCCUGAGAGGGCGGUCGGCCACACUGACACUGACACACGGGUCAGACUCCUACGGGAGGCAGCAGUCGGGAAUUUUGGGCAAUGGGCGAAAGCCUGACCCAGCAACGCCGCGUGAAGGAUGAAGUUUUUCGGAAUGUAAACUUCAUAAGACGGGGAAGAAUAAGUUUAGGUUAACACCCUGAACGAUGACGGUACCCGUUGUAAGCUCCGGCUAACUCCGUGCCAGCAGCCGCGGUAAUACGGGGGGAGCAAGCGUUGUUCGGAUUUACUGGGCGUAAAGGGCGCGUAGGCGGCGCAACAAGUCACUUGUGAAAUCUCCGGGCUUAACUCGGAGCGGUCAAGUGAUACUGUCGUGCUAGAGUGCGGAAGGGGCAACUGGAAUUCUCGGUGUAGCGGUGAAAUGCGUAGAUAUCGAGAGGAACACCUGCGGCGAAGGCGGGUUGCUGGGCCGACACUGACGCUGAGGCGCGAAAGCCAGGGGAGCGAACGGGAUUAGAUACCCCGGUAGUCCUGGCC
RNAcentral lists this ribosomal RNA (749 nucleotides) under uncultured bacterium. RNAcentral describes it as "bacterial SSU rRNA". It matches the Rfam family "Bacterial small subunit ribosomal RNA", at positions 73 to 801 of the family's 1533-position model. The record is from RNAcentral.